UAGCAUAUGCUUGUCUUAAAGACUAAGCCAUGCAUGUCUAAGUAUAAAUCUUUAUACGGUGAAACUGCGAAUGGCUCAUUAAAUCAGUUAUAGUUUAUUUGAUAAUACCUACUACUUGGAUAACUGUAGUAAUUCUAGAGCUAAUACAUGCUGAAACACCCGACUUGCGAAGGGUGGCAUUUAUUAGAUAAAAAACCAAUGCGGGGGCAACCCCGGACCAUUGAUGACUCAUAAUAACUGAGCGAAUCGCAUGGCCCAGCGCCGGCGAUGAUUCAUU
Molecule: ribosomal RNA, 277 nt
Filed under: uncultured eukaryote
Lineage: Eukaryota
Description: partial 18S ribosomal RNA
Rfam family: Eukaryotic small subunit ribosomal RNA
Source: RNAcentral